UUUAUAUAACUAAACAUUUUACUUUAGUCCCAUUUAAAUGAUGAAUUUUUAUGUCAUGCACCAAUCUGAAAGGUUUUGCUGAAUACUCACCUAUUUUUUAUCUGAUAGUUACAAUCAUAUUAAACUAGCAGUUUAUCUAUGAACAAAAUAUUCAAAGUCGUAUCUUUACAGGUUCAACCUUCAGGAAUACUGAAGUGUGAAUCUUUUGUCAGCUGAAAAACAGUUACUAGGCAUUGAGAUAGUCCAGUUUCCCAUGGAAGAUUGUGAUGAGAUUUAUGUCUAAAAGGUACAACUCGAUCACCACUGCCAACCAAUCUCAUUUGUAAAUAAAUAAAGUUUUAAGUA
Pieris brassicae (large cabbage white) is the source of this 345-nucleotide long non-coding RNA. RefSeq lists it as uncharacterized. Lineage: Eukaryota; Metazoa; Arthropoda; Insecta; Lepidoptera; Pieridae. The record is from RefSeq and is a predicted model, not a curated record. The transcript is spliced from 3 exons.